GUUGUCAUUGGGUUUUCGCAUGGCCUAAACUAUGGUCCAGCAAAUGCAAUUAAAGACGCAAGGCAAAAAAAUGAAGGUUGAGACAGUAUGGGAUGAGAAUUGUGCUCUGUUCCUAAAACGUUUAUAAGACGAGUUUUGGAGUUUAAGAGAUACCGUAUGAAGACAGUUCUAUUUCUAUGUUCAUACCCGACAAAAGGAUGUAAAUUUCUUUCAAACCCGGAAGCGAAUUUACAUUUAAAACAUCAAUGUCUUGCACUACUUCCAAAAUUAUUCAUGUGAAACAUG
Long non-coding RNA from Saccostrea echinata, 285 nucleotides. RefSeq lists it as uncharacterized. The record is from RefSeq and is a predicted model, not a curated record. Lineage: Eukaryota; Metazoa; Mollusca; Bivalvia; Ostreida; Ostreidae. The transcript has 3 exons.